RNAcentral lists this ribosomal RNA (484 nucleotides) under uncultured bacterium. Its description in RNAcentral is "partial 16S ribosomal RNA". It matches the Rfam family "Bacterial small subunit ribosomal RNA", at positions 30 to 507 of the family's 1533-position model. The record is from RNAcentral.
AUUGAACGCUGGCGGCAGGCCUAACACAUGCAAGUCGAGCGGAUGAAGGGAGCUUGCUCCUGGAUUCAGCGGCGGACGGGUGAGUAAUGCCUAGGAAUCUGCCUGGUAGUGGGGGAUAACGUCCGGAAACGGGCGCUAAUACCGCAUACGUCCUGAGGGAGAAAGUGGGGGAUCUUCGGACCUCACGCUAUCAGAUGAGCCUAGGUCGGAUUAGCUAGUUGGUGGGGUAAAGGCCUACCAAGGCGACGUUCCGUAACUGGUCUGAGAGGAUGAUCAGUCACACUGGAUCUGAGACACGGUCCAGACUCCUACGGGAGGCAGCAGUGGGGAAUAUUGGACAAUGGGCGAAAGCCUGAUCCAGCCAUGCCGCGUGUGUGAAGAAGGUCUUCGGAUUGUAAAGCACUUUAAGUUGGGAGGAAGGGCAGUAAGUUAAUACCUUGCUGUUUUGACGUUACCAACAGAAUAAGCACCGGCUAACUUCGUG